Long non-coding RNA from Poecilia latipinna (sailfin molly), 226 nucleotides. RefSeq lists it as uncharacterized. The record is from RefSeq and is a predicted model, not a curated record. The transcript is spliced from 4 exons. NCBI's taxonomy places the organism in Eukaryota, Metazoa, Chordata, Actinopteri, Cyprinodontiformes, Poeciliidae.
UUUUGUGUUUUUGCUUAGGUGAAGCAGAAAACAGGACAAUAUUAUUUGUGCAACAUCUAUAAAAUCAACUAAUUGUUUUUACAUCUAGCUAUUUAAUAUUUUAAACAUUUUAAUAGAUUUUAAUCAUUGGUGCUCUUGGGGGCCCCCUGGUGGUGUGGGGGCCCUAAGCAGCCACUUAACUCGCAUUAUGCUUUGGGCCGGCCCUGACGAGCCCGGCUCAUAAAGA